Molecule: ribosomal RNA, 448 nt
Filed under: uncultured Enterobacteriaceae bacterium
Lineage: Bacteria; Pseudomonadati; Pseudomonadota; Gammaproteobacteria; Enterobacterales; Enterobacteriaceae
Description: bacterial SSU rRNA
Rfam family: Bacterial small subunit ribosomal RNA
Source: RNAcentral
UGGAGCAUGUGGUUUAAUUCGAUGCAACGCGAAGAACCUUACCUGGUCUUGACAUCCACAGAACUUGGCAGAGAUGCCUUGGUGCCUUCGGGAACUGUGAGACAGGUGCUGCAUGGCUGUCGUCAGCUCGUGUUGUGAAAUGUGGGUUAAGUCCCGCAACGAGCGCAACCCUUAUCCUUUGUUGCCAGCGGUCCGGCCGGGAACUCAAAGGAGACUGCCAGUGAUAAACUGGAGGAAGGUGGGGAUGACGUCAAGUCAUCAUGGCCCUUACGACCAGGGCUACACACGUGCUACAAUGGCAUAUACAAAGAGAAGCGACCUCGCGAGAGCAAGCGGACCUCAUAAAGUAUGUCGUAGUCCGGAUUGGAGUCUGCAACUCGACUCCAUGAAGUCGGAAUCGCUAGUAAUCGUGGAUCAGAAUGCCACGGUGAAUACGUUCCCGGGCCUU